GAUGAACGCUAGCUACAGGCUUAACACAUGCAAGUCGCGGGGCAGCAUGGGGGUUGCUUGCAAUCCCCGAUGGCGACCGGCGCACGGGUGAGUAACGCGUAUCCAACCUGCCCUUCACCACGGGAUAACCCGGCGAAAGUCGGACUAAUACCGUAUGUUGUCCAUUGACGGCAUCCGAUUUGGACGAAAGGUUUGGCGGUGAAGGAUGGGGAUGCGUCCGAUUAGCUGGACGGCGGGGUGACGGCCCACCGUGGCGACGAUCGGUAGGGGUUCUGAGAGGAAGGUCCCCCACACUGGAACUGAGACACGGUCCAGACUCCUACGGGAGGCAGCAGUGAGGAAUAUUGGUCAAUGGGCGUAAGCCUGAACCAGCCAAGUAGCGUGCAGGAUGACGGCCCUAUGGGUUGUAAACUGCUUUUAUGCGGGGAUAAAGUGGCCCACGUGUGGGUUUUUGCAGGGACCGCAGGAAUAAGGACCGGCUAAUUCCGU
RNAcentral lists this ribosomal RNA (489 nucleotides) under uncultured bacterium. RNAcentral describes it as "partial 16S ribosomal RNA". It matches the Rfam family "Bacterial small subunit ribosomal RNA", at positions 28 to 506 of the family's 1533-position model. The record is from RNAcentral.